This is a long non-coding RNA of Hibiscus syriacus, 207 nucleotides long. RefSeq lists it as uncharacterized. Lineage: Eukaryota; Viridiplantae; Streptophyta; Magnoliopsida; Malvales; Malvaceae. The transcript has 3 exons. The record is from RefSeq and is a predicted model, not a curated record.
GAAAAACAUGAUAAUCAUUGCCAGCAUUCAAUGAUUGAAUGAGCACAUAAAGAUGGUAAGGUGGAAUUCCAAGAUGGAUCAAUUGUUGAUGCAGAUGCCAUUAUUCAUUGCACUGGGUACAAAUACCAUUACCCGUUUCUCAAAUCAAAUGGAGUAGUUAAUGUGAACGAAGAUCAUGUUGGACCUCUUUAUAAACAUGUAUUUGCC